AUUGAACGCUGGCGGCAGGCCUAACACAUGCAAGUCGAGCGAGCGGCGGACGGGUGAGUAAGGCAUGGGGACUGCCCGAUAGCGGGGGAUAACUACUGGAAACGGUGGAUAAAAACGCAUACUGUCGGCAAACCCAUAUGGGAUUAGCUAGUAGGUAAGGUAAUGGCGUACCUAGGCGACGAUCCCUAGCUGGUCUGAGAGGAUGAUCAGCCACACUGGGACUGAGACACGGCCCAGACUCCUACGGAGGCAGCAGUGGGGAAUAUUGCACAAUGGGCGCAAGCCUGACGCAGCAAUGCCGCGUGUAUGAAGAAGGCCCUCGGGUUGUAAAGUACUUUCAGUCGGGAGGCGUUACCUACAGAGGAAGCACCGGCUAACUCCGUGCCAGCAGCCGCGGUAAUAC
This 403-nucleotide ribosomal RNA is filed under the name uncultured bacterium. Its description in RNAcentral is "partial 16S ribosomal RNA". It matches the Rfam family "Bacterial small subunit ribosomal RNA", at positions 30 to 526 of the family's 1533-position model. The record is from RNAcentral.